AAUGAACGCUGGCGGCAUGCCUUACACAUGCAAGUCGAACGGCAGCAUGACCUAGCUUGCUAGGUUGAUGCGGAGCGGCUAACGAGCGAGUCAUACAUCCGAACGUUCCCUUUAGUGGGGGAUAACUUAGCGAAAGUUACGCUAAUACCGCAGAUUUUCCGAGGCGGAAAGCACGGGACUUUCGGUCCCUUCGCUGGAAGAGCGGCCGCUGUCGGAUCAGCUAGCCGGUGAGGUAAAGGCUCACCAAGGCAACGAUCCGUAACGGGUCCGAGAGGACGAUCCGCCACACUGGGAGUGAGGCACGGCCGCGACUCCGAGGGGAGGAAGCAGUGGGGAAUGUUGCACGAUGCGGGCAAGCCUAAUCCAGCCAUGCCGGGUGAGGGAAGAAGGCCUUCGGGUUGGAAAGCGCUUUCGGCUGGGGAGAGGUCACGCCCUCUAAACCAGGAUGUGAAUGACGGUACCAGGAUAAGAAGCACCGGCUAACUACGUG
This 490-nucleotide ribosomal RNA is filed under the name uncultured bacterium. RNAcentral describes it as "partial 16S ribosomal RNA". It matches the Rfam family "Bacterial small subunit ribosomal RNA", at positions 29 to 507 of the family's 1533-position model. The record is from RNAcentral.